This 369-nucleotide ribosomal RNA is filed under the name Triticum aestivum (bread wheat). RNAcentral describes it as "partial small subunit ribosomal RNA". Lineage: Eukaryota; Viridiplantae; Streptophyta; Magnoliopsida; Poales; Poaceae. The record is from RNAcentral.
AUCAUAGAAGAGCUUUUGGACGAACUCCACGGCGCAGCCUGGUUUUCCAAGCUGGAUCUUCGAGCGGGAUACCACCAAAUACGACUGGCUCCAAGGGAAGAAUACAAGACCGCGUUCCAAACGCACCAAGGGCACUUCGAAUUCAAAGUGGUGUCAUUUGGAUUGGCAGGAGCGCCAGCCACGUUCAUCGGGGCAGUCACAACUACCCUCCAACCAGUCAACUGUGUCUGCGUAAUUUCGUUCUUCGACGACAUAUUGGUGUUCAGUGCUACUCUGCAAGCACACGUUGCUCACUUGCGCCAAGUCCUGACAUUGCUUCGGCGAGACAGCCGGUAUGUUAAACUUAGUAAAUGCGUGUUCGGGCAGCAA